This 484-nucleotide ribosomal RNA is filed under the name uncultured bacterium. Its description in RNAcentral is "partial 16S ribosomal RNA". It matches the Rfam family "Bacterial small subunit ribosomal RNA", at positions 30 to 507 of the family's 1533-position model. The record is from RNAcentral.
AUUGAACGCUGGCGGCAGGCCUAACACAUGCAAGUCGAGCGGAUGAAGGGAGCUUGCUCCUGGAUUCAGCGGCGGACGGGUGAGUAAUGCCUAGGAAUCUGCCUGGUAGUGGGGGAUAACGUCCGGAAACGGGCGCUAAUACCGCAUACGUCCUGAGGGAGAAAGUGGGGGAUCUUCGGACCUCACGCUAUCAGAUGAGCCUAGGUCGGAUUAGCUAGUUGGUGGGGUAAAGGCCUACCAAGGCGACGAUCCGUAACUGGUCUGAGAGGAUGAUCAGUCAGACUGGAACUGAGACACGGUCCAGACUCCUACGGGAGGCAGCAGUGGGGAAUAUUGGACGAUGGGCGAAAGCCUGAUCCUGCACUGCCGCGUGUGUGAAGAUGGUCUUCGGAUUGUAAAGCACUGUAGGUUGGGAGGAAGGGCAGUAAGUUAAUACCUUGCUGUUUUGACGUUACCAACAGAAUAAGCACCGGCUAACUUCGUG